This 167-nucleotide unclassified non-coding RNA is filed under the name uncultured fungus. Its description in RNAcentral is "sequence contains ITS1". The record is from RNAcentral. Lineage: Eukaryota; Fungi.
UUAACUAUUUGUCUUUUCUUCAGAGGACUUGUCACAGAAUUUUGGUCUUUCGGCAGGCAUGAUAGAGCCCGCCCUGGGCCCGCCUGCCGAAGCAACAGAUACAAAAAUCACAAGGGUUUGGAGUUGGUAACUCGGUAAUGAUCCCUCCGCUGGUUCACCAACGGAGA